Non-coding RNA from Callithrix jacchus (white-tufted-ear marmoset), 45 nucleotides. NCBI's taxonomy places the organism in Eukaryota, Metazoa, Chordata, Mammalia, Primates, Cebidae. The record is from Rfam.
CCAAAGGCUCUUUUCAGAGCCAUUAUUUUCCCUAGCAGGCAGCAG